UUCCAGACUCCUACGGGAGGCAGCAGUGGGGAAUAUUGGGCAAUGGGCGAAAGCCUGACCCAGCAACGCCGCGUGAAGGAAGAAGGCUUUCGGGUUGUAAACUUCUUUUGACAGGGAAGAGCAGAAGACGGUACCUGUCGAAUAAGCCACGGCUAACUACGUGCCAGCAGCCGCGGUAAUACGUAGGGGGCGAGCGUUAUCCGGAUUCACUGGGUGUAAAGGGAGCGUAGACGGCCAAGCAAGCCAGGGGUGAAAGCCCGGGGCCCAACCCCGGGACUGCCCUUGGAACUGCUUGGCUGGAGUGCGGGAGGGGCAGGCGGAAUUCCUGGUGUAGCGGUGAAAUGCGUAGAUAUCAGGAGGAACACCGGCGGCGUAGGCGGCCUGCUGGACCGCUACUGACGUUGAGGCUCGAAAGCGUGGGGAGCGAACAGGAUUAGAUACCCCCGUAGCC
Molecule: ribosomal RNA, 451 nt
Filed under: uncultured bacterium
Lineage: Bacteria
Description: partial 16S ribosomal RNA
Rfam family: Bacterial small subunit ribosomal RNA
Source: RNAcentral